Molecule: ribosomal RNA, 428 nt
Filed under: Laribacter hongkongensis
Lineage: Bacteria; Pseudomonadati; Pseudomonadota; Betaproteobacteria; Neisseriales; Aquaspirillaceae
Description: bacterial SSU rRNA
Rfam family: Bacterial small subunit ribosomal RNA
Source: RNAcentral
CUGCCACACUGGGACUGAGACACGGCCCAGACUCCUACGGGAGGCAGCAGUGGGGAAUUUUGGACAAUGGGGGCAACCCUGAUCCAGCCAUGCCGCGUGUCUGAAGAAGGCCUUCGGGUUGUAAAGGACUUUUGUCAGGGAGGAAAUCCCUAAGGCUAAUACCCUUGGGGGAUGACAGUACCUGAAGAAUAAGCACCGGCUAACUACGUGCCAGCAGCCGCGGUAAUACGUAGGGUGCAAGCGUUAAUCGGAAUUACUGGGCGUAAAGCGUGCGCAGGCGGUUUGAAAAGUCAGCUGUGAAAGCCCCGGGCUCAACCUGGGAACUGCGGUUGAAACUCUCAAGCUAGAGUGCGUCAGAGGGGGGUGGAAUUCCACGUGUAGCAGUGAAAUGCGUAGAGAUGUGGAGGAACACCAAUGGCGAAGGCAGC